RNAcentral lists this ribosomal RNA (1568 nucleotides) under Paratrimastix pyriformis. RNAcentral describes it as "bacterial LSU rRNA". It matches the Rfam family "Bacterial large subunit ribosomal RNA", at positions 1231 to 2925 of the family's 2925-position model. The record is from RNAcentral. Lineage: Eukaryota; Preaxostyla; Paratrimastigidae.
GCGGAGCGUUCCGUAAGCCUGCGAAGGGUGUCCGUGAGGCCGCCUGGAGGUAUCGGAAGUGAGAAUGCUGACAUGAGUAGCGACAAAGAGUGUGAGAAACACUCUCGCCGAAAGUCCAAGGGUUCCUGCGCAAGGUUAAUCCACGCAGGGUGAGCCGGCCCCUAAGGCGAGGCCGAAAGGCGUAGUCGAUGGGAACCACGUUAAUAAUCGUGGGCCAGCGGGUGGUGACGGAUGGGAAAGCGUGUACGUCCUUAUCGGAUUGGACGUGCUGUGGACCCGUUCCAGGAAAUAGCCCCCGCGUUAGACCGUACCCCAAACCGACACAGGUGGACAGGUAGAGUAUACCCAGGCGCUUGAGAGAAUGGUGUUGAAGGAACUCGGCAAAUUGCCCUCGUAACUUCGGAAGAAGAGGGCCCCGUUCAUGCGCAAGCGUGGGCGGGGGGCACAGACCAGGGGGUAGCGACUGUUUACUAAAAACACAGGGCUCUGCGAAGCCACACAAGGCGACGUAUAGGGUCUGACGCCUGCCCGGUGCCGGAAGGUUAAGAGGAGGGGUGCAAGCUCUGAAUUGAAGCCCCGGUAAACGGCGGCCGUAACAUAACGGUCCUAAGGUAGCGAAAUUCCUUGUCGGGUAAGUUCCGACCUGCACGAAGGCGUAACGACUUCCCCGCUGUCUCCAACACCAACUCAGCGAAAUUGAACUCUCCGUGAAGAUGCGGAGUUCCCGCGGUCAGACGGAAAGACCCCGUGCACCUUUACUACAGCUUUGCAGUGGUGCUAGGGAUCUCAUGUGUAGGAUAGGUGGGAGGCUUGGAAACCGGGGCGCCAGCUCUGGUGGAGCCAACCUUGAAAUACCACCCUUGAGAUCUCUGGCAUCUAACCGCGACCCGUUAUCCGGGUCCGGGACCCUGCAUGGCGGGUAGUUUGACUGGGGCGGUCGCCUCCCAAAGUGUAACGGAGGCGCGCGAUGGUGGGCUCAGAGCGGUCGGAAAUCGCUCGUCGAGUGCAAUGGCAUAAGCCCGCCUGACUGCAAGACUGACAAGUCGAGCAGAGACGAAAGUCGGCCAUAGUGAUCCGGUGGUUCCAUGUGGACGGGCCAUCGCUCAACGGAUAAAAGGUACGCCGGGGAUAACAGGCUGAUGACUCCCAAGAGUCCAUAUCGACGGAGUCGUUUGGCACCUCGAUGUCGGCUCAUCACAUCCUGGGGCUGGAGCAGGUCCCAAGGGUUCGGCUGUUCGCCGAUUAAAGUGGUACGUGAGCUGGGUUUAGAACGUCGUGAGACAGUUCGGUCCCUAUCUGCCGUGGGUGUAGGAGUUUUGCGAGGAUCUGUCCCUAGUACGAGAGGACCGGGAUGGACAUACCUCUGGUGCGCCGGUUGUCACGCCAGUGGCAUGGCCGGGUAGCUAAGUAUGGACGGGAUAACCGCUGAAAGCAUCUAAGCGGGAAACCCACCUCUAAACAAGAGCUCCCUUGAGAGCCGUGAUAGACCAUCACGUCGAUAGGAGGCGUGUGGAAGGGCGGCAACGCCUGAAGCUAAGCCUUACUAAUCGCUCGAUCGGCUUGAUCUC